Boleophthalmus pectinirostris (great blue-spotted mudskipper) is the source of this 322-nucleotide long non-coding RNA. RefSeq lists it as uncharacterized. NCBI's taxonomy places the organism in Eukaryota, Metazoa, Chordata, Actinopteri, Gobiiformes, Gobiidae. The record is from RefSeq and is a predicted model, not a curated record. The transcript is spliced from 3 exons.
GUGAAAUCAUAGCUGGACGACAUGCUGGGGUUGUCCGUCACCUCCACAGUGUACAGGCCCAGAUCCUCCUCCGAUGCAUCAGUCAAGAGACCUGGAGUUUCCUCAUUAAUCUCCUCUGCCUCGUAUGUCAGACAGAUGAAGCCGUCAUCAUCCACACCGAUCUGGAUGUCUUUGGAGCCUGCAGGGGAAGAAAUUCAAUUAACUAUUGGUGCUACUCUUCUCCCCGUUCCUCGCCUGGAGGACUCAGCCCCUCUCCUGUCUUACCCCUCCUGUUUUUACACUGGCUGUUUUAUUUUAGUUUUUAAAUGUUUUAACAUUGGGC